This 253-nucleotide ribosomal RNA is filed under the name uncultured bacterium. RNAcentral describes it as "partial 16S ribosomal RNA". It matches the Rfam family "Bacterial small subunit ribosomal RNA", at positions 524 to 776 of the family's 1533-position model. The record is from RNAcentral.
UACGUAGGUGGCAAGCGUUGUCCGGAAUUAUUGGGCGUAAAGCGCGCGCAGGCGGUCCUAUAAGUCUGAUGUGAAAGCCCCCGGCUCAACCGGGGAGGGUCAUUGGAAACUGUAGGACUUGAGUACUGGAGAGAAGAGUGGAAUUCCACGUGUAGCGGUGAAAUGCGUAGAGAUGUGGAGGAACACCAGUGGCGAAGGCGACUCUUUGGCCAGAAACUGACGCUGAGGCGCGAAAGCGUGGGGAGCAAACAGG